Molecule: transfer RNA, 89 nt
Filed under: bacterium
Lineage: Bacteria
Also listed under: 1 other name
Description: tRNA-Leu
Rfam family: tRNA
About the family: Transfer RNA (tRNA) molecules are approximately 80 nucleotides in length.
Source: RNAcentral
GCCCAGGUGGCGGAAUAGGUAGACGCACAGGACUUAAAAUCCUGCGGCUAGCGAUAGCCAUACCGGUUCGAUUCCGGUUCUGGGCACCA